Molecule: ribosomal RNA, 360 nt
Filed under: uncultured Fusibacter sp.
Lineage: Bacteria; Bacillati; Bacillota; Clostridia; Eubacteriales; Fusibacteraceae
Description: bacterial SSU rRNA
Rfam family: Bacterial small subunit ribosomal RNA
Source: RNAcentral
AACGUCUGACACAGGUGGCUGCAUGGCUGUCGUCAGCUCGUGUCGUGAGAUGUUGGGUUUAGUCCCGCAACGAGCGCAACCCUUGUGUUUAGUUUGCAAACAGGUCAAGCUGUGCACUCUAGACAGACUGCCGUGGACAACACGGAGGAAGUGGGGAUGACGUCAAAUCAUCAUGCCCCUUAUGAUCUGGGCUACACACGUGCUACAAUGGCCGGUACAACGGGCAGCGAAGGAGCGAUCCGGAGCGAAUCCUAAAAAGCCGGUCCCAGUUCGGAUUGCAGGCUGAAACUCGCCUACAUGAAGUUGGAGUUGCUAGUAAUCGCGAAUCAGAAUGUCGCGGUGAAUGCGUUCCCGGGUCUU